RNAcentral lists this ribosomal RNA (679 nucleotides) under uncultured bacterium. RNAcentral's name for it is "bacterial SSU rRNA". It matches the Rfam family "Archaeal small subunit ribosomal RNA", at positions 661 to 1339 of the family's 1478-position model. The record is from RNAcentral.
CAGUGGCGAAGGCGUCUCACCAGAACGGACCUGACGGCAAGGGACGAAAGCUAGGGGCACGAACCGGAUUAGAUACCCGGGUAGUCCUAGCCGUAAACGAUACUCGCUAGGUGUCGGCCACGGUGCGACCGUUGUCGGUGCCGUAGGGAAGCCGUGAAGCGAGCCACCUGGGAAGUACGGCCGCAAGGCUGAAACUUAAAGGAAUUGGCGGGGGAGCACCACAACGGGUGGAGCUUGCGGUUUAAUUGGAUUCAACGCCGGAAAUCUUACCGGGACCGACAGCAAUAUGAAGGCCAGGCUGAAGACUUUGCCGGAUUAGCUGAGAGGUGGUGCAUGGCCGUCGUCAGUUCGUACUGUGAAGCAUCCUGUUAAGUCAGGCAACGAGCGAGACCCACGCCCACAGUUGCCAGCGUACUCUCCGGAGUGACGGGUACACUGUGGGGAACCCCGCUGCUAAAGCGGAGGAAGGAAUGGGCAACGGUAGGUCAGUAUGCCCCGAAUAUCCCGGGCUACACGCGAGCUACAAUGGUUGGUACAAUGGGUAUCUACCCCGAAAGGGGAUGGAAAUCUCCUAAAGCCAAUCUUAGUUCGGAUUGAGGGCUGCAACUCGCCCUCAUGAAGCUGGAAUCCGUAGUAAUCGCGUUUCAACAGAACGCGGUGAAUACGUCCCUGCUCCUUG